Molecule: long non-coding RNA, 2983 nt
Organism: Girardinichthys multiradiatus
Lineage: Eukaryota; Metazoa; Chordata; Actinopteri; Cyprinodontiformes; Goodeidae
Exons: 5
Source: RefSeq, a predicted model, not a curated record
CUUCACCACUAUUCAAAAGGCAGAUGUGAUGCUAUUGAACCCUCCUUCAGCUGGAGUUGUGCGAAAGUAUAGUUUAAUUGGCAAAGGCUGCUUUUGUGUUUUUUUUUUUUUUCACUCAUGGGCUCAGGUCAUUGGUCCUGUGUUGCUGAAGGGAGCAGCUGAUUUUUCAUAAACUGUACCUACACAGUUUUUUCUACACUGAUCAGGCAUACAGAAAUUAAAGACAUUUUUGUAGCUGGCAACUACUUUCAACCUGACAGUUUUGGCCACAGUGGCAAAAAGUUUGGACACCUCCGUCUAAGAGAAACCAGUAUUUGCCACGAACCAGGUUGACAGCGGCAAAGUUCAUUAUGCCAUAUUGUCUGAACCAGAUGGAGGACAGGAGUCUGCAACAGCUGGAUGAACACAGGCUCCCUUGACACUGACAGCUGUUUCUUGCAAAUUGGAGCGUAUCCAUCGGUUUAUCAUCCCACACCCUCUUCUUAUGUAUACGCACUGCCUUUCACAUCUGUGUUUGUGAUUUUGUUUUGAAUGGCACUUCUGCAAAGUGGAACUGGGUAAAAAGUGAAAGUUGCUUUUAAUUUGCAAAUACACAGAAAAAUUGCAUAAACUUCAAAGAGUAUCCCUAACUGGCAAGCAUCUCAUGUUGAUCUUUCAUUGCUGUUGUUUUCUUCCUUUUGUUUACCUUAUGUCAAGCAUAUGUGCUAUAUGUGCUAAUUUUUAAAACAUAUCCGUGACCAAUGAUGAAGACAUUGUCAGGAGAAAUGUUGUCUGAGAGGCCAUAGCUUGGAUACCUUAAAUCCCCCCUCCUAAGGGAUUUAAAUGUUCUCAAUGGCAAGCCAGGUCUGCAUGUAAUUUGCCUCAGUGGAGAACAAGCGCUUAUAUUUUCUGAUUCAUUUCUGACCAGUAUUGUUACCCUAAUGUAUAUGGGCAUGCACGCGCACUGUAAUUUCUCCAAAAAACUGUCACCAUUAUACUGAUAUUAGCGAGCUGUGCAAUGGUGGAAUAGAAGCAGCUAAAAGUUUUCAUUUUCUGCACAGAAGUGUUCAUUUAUUCUGAAUGGUUCAACCGACUUCAGCAGCUUUCAGACCAUUUUUUCAGACAUUGUCUGGCACACCACUCAAUCUGUGUAAGAUCCUGUACAAUUAAUUGUCUCACAACAAGUUUUUGCCUAAAACGUCACUUCACGCUAAUGAAACAUGUAGUGAUUAAAAGGGAGGUUAAAAGAUUGAUAAAAUGGGGAUGUUCUUGUGUGUCAUUUCCUUUGAUAGAAUGAGUUAUUAUUAAAGGCAAUUAUCAUGGGUAACAUGCAGGAUGAAAGAGGAGGCAGAGGAGACGGAGGUUAUUGAAUUAAUUUAUUUAUAUGGCCUGUAGAUGUCAGCAAACAUUUUGUACUGCCAGAAGAUGCAAAAACAGUAAAACUACAGUUAACACAUUUUUUACCUGAGAAACUUUAUGGAGAAACUUUAUGCUGACCAACACACCUGCAGUGAGCUCAAUAACUGGCUGCUGGAUCUGCUACAGCUAUCUGUUGUUGCUGUGCCCUGAAAUUUGAUAUGUCCCUCUUGGGUUGGCUCUUUAGUUGGGGGCACAAUUCCAAUUGUUUUACAAUACUGAUACCAAAAGAGACUGGAAUGGGAAGACUGUUUUUGGUGGGUGAGGAGAAAUCCACAAUCCUGACUUUGAUAAAUUUCUAUUUUAAGAUUUUUCUGGCUCUAAGACAGGAUAUUUUCCUCUUACUAAGACUGUCUUUUCGUAGCCUUGAAAUUUUUGAAAGUAAAUUGUUUGGUCUUUAGGGAAAAUCUUGUUUCAAACAUGACAUGUUUUAACUGUGCAGGAGAAAAAGGAGUAAAAAUGCACACUGUUUCAAUCAACUACUGCAUCUUAAUCCACUUGUACACAUUCCAUCCUUAUGCUUGGUGUAAAAUUCAAGGCAUUUGCUAAAAUAUGUCUAACUACACUACAUCUGUGUCAUGCUAUUGCAAUCCAAAGGCUCUGAAGUAUUUUGGUAAUUCUUUGGGACACAUUGAGCAUAUGGAUGGAAAGACAGAUGGGGAUUAAGUGACAGAAGGCAUUUGAGAAGUUUUGAUUUUCAUUUCUGUAAAGCUUGUCACCACGGGUAUCUAUGUAUUACACAUUUUGAAAGUACGACUUGUAGUUUACACUAGUAUUUUAUCUUGUGCUUCACUAUGAGCCGUUUUUUCUAUUUCUGUACACAAACAAAACAAUCGUUGUGGAAUGUAUCAUUCAGUAAAUCUUUCCCACGCCCUAUAUUUGCACACAUAGAUACACACUAAUCUUUACCAGCUGCAUGUGAUCUAAUCAUCACCAGAGAAAAAUGCAGUUCACCUCCGCUGGCUUAGAGAAAACCUCCCUAAAUAAGAACGUCCCCAUAAUGAGAUUUUUUCUGAUGGAUCUUCAUUGUUAAGAUUGACCUUGUUCAGCACCUUACCCUCAUUUAAACCACAAAUCCAUCUCCCUGGUCCGACCAGAUGAUUUUUAAUUAAAUGUGUGCAUGAAAAAUUGAAACACUUAUCAUGCUAUUUUCCUUUAUCUCAUUUAAGCUGAUUUCAUUACCUUUGUUUCAAGAAUGGUCUGGACAUCAAGAUUUCACCUAAUACCUGAGAGAUUUAAUACUCUCCUUAGAACAACUGAAUGCUUUAAAAAUGGCGAAUUGAAAAGCUCAGAGCGUCAUGCUGUAAUCCCCAAAGUGUAGCUAGAGUUAAACAAACUGAGCCCUUCUGGCCCUUGCGGAAGAAGUUUUUUUUAAAUCACUGAACUAGAAGAAGGCACGAGUAUGACAUUUUCUACAUUGUUAACAAACCUCACCACAUACUAUUGCCUUCAGCAAGAUUUGUCCUUUGUUUCUACAAGGCCUGUGAACUGUAAAUCUACUCCUGUAUAACCCUUAAUUUAGAACUAUAGUGGUAAAGUGUUACUGGUGUUUGCAUGAAAAAUAAACUAACAUUUCACAAACAAAGCU